CCCAGACAGCCGGGAGGUUGGCUUAGAAGCAGCCAUCCUUUAAAGAGUGCGUAACAGCUCACCGGUCGAUGCCGCCCUGCGCCGAAAAUGUAGCGGGGCUCAAGCCCGCCGCCGAAGCCGCGGGCCCUGGCAAGCCUAGCCUUGCCGGGGCGGUAGGGGAGCGUCCUGUCCAGCGUCGAAGGUGGGCCGCGAGGCCUGCUGGAGCGGGCAGGAGUGAGAAUGCCGGCACGAGUAGCAAGAGGCAGGUGAGAAUCCUGCCCACCGAAUGGCCAAGGUUUCCUACGGAAGGAUCGUCCGCGUAGGGUUAGGCGGGACCUAAGGCUAAGCCGCACAGGCGAUGCCGAUGGACAGCCGGUCAACAUUCCGGCCCCGCCGCCGUGGCGCUACGAGACGGAGGGGGGACCCAGGAGGGUAGGUCGAGCGGGCCUACUGGACAUGGUCCGUCCUUGGGCCGUAGGCGUCUGGGGGUAGGCAAAUCCGCCCCCAGGUCAAGCGGAGGGCCCGAGGCGAGGGGCGACUACGGUCAAACCGAGUCGGCCGAGCCCACACUGGCAAGAAAAGCCUCGCCGUCCAGUCACGGCGGUGCCCGUACCGGAAACCGACACAGGUGGCCUGGGGUAAACGCCCUAAGGUGGACGCGUGACUCCCCGUCAAGGAACUCGGCAAGCUGACCCCGUAACUUCGGGAGAAGGGGUGCCCUCUGGGGUGAAGGCCCUCGCGGCCGGAGCCCUGGGGGGUCGCAGCGAAGCGGCCCUGGCGACUGUUUAACAAAAACACAGGUCUCUGCUAAGGGGAAACCCGCAGUAUAGGGGCCGACGCUUGCCCAGUGCCGGAAGGUUAAGGGGAGGGGUGAUGAGCCCCAAACCGAAGCCCCGGUGAACGGCGGCCGUAACUCUGACGGUCCUAAGGUAGCGAAAUUCCUUGUCGGGUAAGUUCCGACCCGCACGAAAAGCGUAACGACUGGGGCGCUGUCUCGACGGGGAGCGCGGUGAAACUGCAGGGCCCGUGAAGAUGCGGGCUACCCGCCGCGGGACAAGAAGACCCCGUGGAGCUUUACUGCAGCUUGGCGUUGGCGACGGGCCAAGGAUGCGUAGGAUAGGUGGGAGGCUGAGAACCCCCGGCUCCGGCUGGGGGGGAGCCGCCGGUGAAAUACCACUCUUCCUUGGUCUAUCGCCUAACCCGCUGUGCGGGGACAGCGCCUGGUGGGCAGUUUGACUGGGGCGGUCGCCUCCUAAAAGGUAACGGAGGCGCCCAAAGGUCCCCUCAGGCUGGAUGGAAAUCAGCCGUUGAGUGUAUGGGCAGAAGGGGGCUUGACUGCGAGGCCUACAAGCCGAGCAGGGGGGAAACCCGGGCCAAGUGAUCCCACGGUACCGCGUGGGAGGGCCGUGGCUUAUCGGAUAAAAGCUACCCCGGGGAUAACAGGCUGAUCGGGCCCAAGAGUUCACAUCGACGGCCCGGUUUGGCACCUCGAUGUCGGCUCGUCCCAUCCUGGGGCUGGAGAAGGUCCCAAGGGUUGGGCUGUUCGCCCAUUAAAGGGGCACGUGAGCUGGGUUCAGAACGUCGUGAGACAGUUCGGUCUCUAUCCGCGGUGGGCGUUGGAGGCUUGAGGGGGGCUGGCCCUAGUACGAGAGGACCGGGCUGGGCGGACCGCUGGUGUGCCGGUUGUCCCGCCAGGGGCAAAAAGCCGGGUAGCCAUGUCCGCACGGGAUAAGCGCUGAAAGCAUCUAAGCGCGAAGCCCUCCCCAAGAUGAGGCCUCCCACCCCCUCGAGGGGGUAAGGCCACGGGAAGACCACCCGUUAGAUAGGCGGCAGGUGUAAGCCGGGCAACCGGUGUAGCUGAGCCGUACUAAUGGCCGAGGGCUUGAC
This 1866-nucleotide ribosomal RNA is filed under the name bacterium HR24. RNAcentral describes it as "bacterial LSU rRNA". It matches the Rfam family "Bacterial large subunit ribosomal RNA", at positions 1084 to 2925 of the family's 2925-position model. The record is from RNAcentral.